GAAGGUCUUCGGAUUGUAAACCCCUUUCGGGAGGGAAGAUGGAACGAGCAAUCGUUCGGACGGUACCUCCAGAAGCAGCCACGGCUAACUUCGUGCCAGCAGCCGCGGUAAUACGAAGGUGGCAAGCGUUGUUCGGAUUUACUGGGCGUACAGGGAGCGUAGGCGGUUCGGUAAGCCCUCUGUGAAAUCUCCAGGCUUAACCUGGAACAGUCGGAGGGGACUGCUGGGCUAGAGGACGGGAGAGGAGCGCGGAAUUCCCGGUGUAGCGGUGAAAUGCGUAGAGAUCGGGAGGAAGGCCGGUGGCGAAGGCGGCGCUCUGGAACGUAUCUGACGCUGAGGCUCGAAAGCGUGGGGAGCAAACAGGAUUAGAUACCCUGGUAGUCCACGCCUUAAACUAUGAAUACUAAGUGUCGGCGGGUUACCGCCGGUGCCGCAGCUAACGCAUUAAGUAUUCCGCCUGGGAAGUACGGCCGCAAGGUUGAAACUCAAA
Molecule: ribosomal RNA, 490 nt
Filed under: uncultured bacterium
Lineage: Bacteria
Description: bacterial SSU rRNA
Rfam family: Bacterial small subunit ribosomal RNA
Source: RNAcentral